UGAAAUGUUUACAUUUGACGAUCUUUUAUCUCUACGUGGAGAAGGUAAUAAUUGAGAUUUCAAAGUUUCUAUCUUAUUUAUUAGCAACACUUAUUUUUUAUUUGAAUUAGUGGUCUACGAGGUUUGUUCAAACAUUUUUGCUAAUUUUGUCUUAAGAAAGUGUUUAUUUAAUCAAGAAUAUCUAUUUUGUCCACUUCAAGGUAAUCACGUUAGAUAUAAUGCAAUAAUCCCAGUGUGUUUUUUUAAAUCAUCGAAGCAUUUAAGAAAGUAACUUUUUGUGAUCUUGUUCAGUAUCUCCUUCGAUGCAGUUUUUAUCUCCUCAAUCGUAGCAAAGCGUCGUCCCUUCAUGGUCCUCUACAAUUUUGGGAACAAAAAAAAGUCACAAGGGCCAGAUCUGGGGAAUAUGGCGGCUGCGGCACUAUUAAUGUGUUGUUUUUGAGCAAAUACGAGGUAUCGCGAAUUUUGAAUUUUCGCGGCGCAUUGUAUCUAGGGGUGUUUACUUUAAAGGGGACAAAAUAAAUAUUCAUGAAUAAGUAAUUACUGUCCUAAGAAAUCCAAAAUUCGCGAUACUUUUUGAACAAACAUGUUUCUUACAAUAUUUUCAUAUGGUUCAUGGAAUACAAGGUUACGACAAGUUGGUUCAAAUUGGUUGGUUGCUCUAGCCACUUAAAUAUGUUUGUGAUAUUUUAUCCUUGAAAUAUCCUGAAGUAAAACCCACUUUGCUUAUACUAAACAAAUUUUUAAUUUGAAAUAAAACUGUAUACACAUAGCAACUCUAAUUGCCUACUGACAUUUCAACGAAUGAUAUAUUUAAAUAAGUCAAAUCCGUUAAAAAAAGUGGUAAAUUCACAGCAGGCGCGCAUUGUUUGAAAAAAACGCUUUAUACACAUUUUUUAAAUAAUAUCAAGUAUUUUUCAAAAGUGUUAGAAGUAUAAAUUGUGCAAACAUCGCGUUUAAAAAUCUGAAACGACGACAGUGGGUAAUCGUACACAAAAAUAUGGACAAAAUUCAUAUUUACCAAACUUAAGGCGGACUGUAAUAAUAUAGUGUAACAAUUAGGGUAUUCACAAGGUGUCAUAUUGUGUCAUAUCGUCAUAUUGUCUUAGUUUUUUAAGACUGUCAUAACACUGUUGUUGUUUCCCAUACAAAAUUUAAAUGCGGCAAAUACAACACGGUGAGGCAUGUAUUUUGAGUGUGCUAUUUUAUCAGCUGUAUCUGUUUAUUUUUUUUAUUGUGACGUUUAAGUGUCUAAAAUUAAUAAAUUAAAUAAAUUUCAUCAAUUUCUAUAAUAAUAUGAAAGGAAGCCGCGAUAUUCAGUUUCUAAUGAAAUUUUUGUAUUCUAAAGACAUAAGACAAAGCUUGUGAAUUGCCUAAAUAUGGCUAGAAAGAUAUUCAUGAUAUGGUAUAUGUAUCAGUAUGUCACAGACAUAUGUAAUAACUUAUCGCCUAAAUCAAGCCAUUCGUGAAAAAAUUAGAAGAAAAUGCGGACAAUCAUGACCAACCGGAGCUUAAAUAUCGUUUACGUUCAUAUAUUUUGGGGCAUAACGAAACACCUCUAACCGAUUUUAGCAAUGUUGAAGCUGAUGAUACACCCGAUUUAGAAGGAACACGAUGACCUCUUUCUGGUAUACUAUUGCGAAGAUUCCAAGUGGUAGUCCGUGCGGAGCAUAGUACUAACAACGAAUUAUUGUAUCUCGAAUCCGACGGUCUAGAGCAUUUGGUGGGAUGCAUUUGCAAAAAAUUAAAACCUGAAGUGGAUGAAUUUGAGAAUGAUCAGAAGUAUACAUGGGUUAAUCACGUAAGCGAAGGCUAAACAAACUGAAAGAAUAAUGGAGAUGAUGAGCCAAUGUGAAAAAAUAUUUGAAAAUAUACAUGGUCAAGUUAUUUAAAUAUAAACAAUUAUAUCCAAAAACAAUUGGAAGAAGCUAA
Molecule: non-coding RNA, 1929 nt
Organism: Bactrocera oleae (olive fruit fly)
Lineage: Eukaryota; Metazoa; Arthropoda; Insecta; Diptera; Tephritidae
Source: RefSeq, a predicted model, not a curated record